RNAcentral lists this ribosomal RNA (253 nucleotides) under uncultured bacterium. Its description in RNAcentral is "partial 16S ribosomal RNA". It matches the Rfam family "Bacterial small subunit ribosomal RNA", at positions 524 to 776 of the family's 1533-position model. The record is from RNAcentral.
UACGGAGGGUGCAAGCAUUAAUCGGAUUUAUUGGGCGUAAAGGGCGCGUAGGCGGGUUAGUAAGUCAGAUGUGAAAUUCCGAAGCUCAACUUCGGGACUGCAUUUGAAACUACUGAUCUAGAGGAAUGGCGGAGAAAAUGGAAUUCCACGUGUAGCGGUGAAAUGCGUAGAUAUGUGGAAGAACACCUGUGGCGAAAGCGGUUUUCUAGCUUAAUCCUGACGCUGAGGCGCGAGAGCAAGGGGAGCAAACAGG